This 254-nucleotide ribosomal RNA is filed under the name uncultured bacterium. RNAcentral's name for it is "partial 16S ribosomal RNA". It matches the Rfam family "Bacterial small subunit ribosomal RNA", at positions 524 to 776 of the family's 1533-position model. The record is from RNAcentral.
UACAGAGGUGGCAAGCGUUGUUCGGAAUUACUGGGCGUAAAGGGCGCGUAGGCGGUCUUCUAAGUCUUGUGUGAAAUCCCUCGGCUCAACUGAGGAACUGCACGGGAUACUGGAUGACCUGAGUUCGGGAGAGGGAAGCGGAAUUCCGGGUGUAGCGGUGAAAUGCGUAGAUAUCCGGAGGAACACCGGUGGCGAAGGCGGCUUCCUGGACCGAUUACUGACGCUGAGGCGCGAAAGCUAGGGGAGCAAACAGG